AGUGAACGCUGGCGGUAGGCCUAACACAUGCAAGUCGCACGGCAGCACAGUAAGAGCUUGCUCUUACGGGUGGCGAGUGGCGGACGGGUGAGGAAUACAUCGGAAUCUACUUUUUCGUGGGGGAUAACGUAGGGAAACUUACGCUAAUACCGCAUACGACCUACGGGUGAAAGCAGGGGAUCUUCGGACCUUGCGCGAUUGAAUGAGCCGAUGUCGGAUUAGCUAGUUGGCGGGGUAAAGGCCCACCAAGGCGACGAUCCGUAGCUGGUCUGAGAGGAUGAUCAGCCACACUGGAACUGAGACACGGUCCAGACUCCUACGGGAGGCAGCAGUGGGGAAUAUUGGACAAUGGGCGCAAGCCUGAUCCAGCCAUACCGCGUGGGUGAAGAAGGCCUUCGGGUUGUAAAGCCCUUUUGUUGGGAAAGAAAAGCAGCAGGUUAAGACCCCGCUGUUCUGACGGUACCCAAAGAAUAAGCACCGGCUAACUGCGU
Molecule: ribosomal RNA, 491 nt
Filed under: uncultured bacterium
Lineage: Bacteria
Description: partial 16S ribosomal RNA
Rfam family: Bacterial small subunit ribosomal RNA
Source: RNAcentral